CCGCGUGAGUGAAGAAGGCCUUCGGGUUGUAAAGCUCUUUCGGCAGGAACGAAACGGGGGCGCUAACAUCGCCUGUCAAUGACGGUACCUGAAGAAGAAGCACCGGCUAACUACGUGCCAGCAGCCGCGGUAAUACGUAGGGUGCGAGCGUUAAUCGGAAUUACUGGGCGUAAAGCGUGCGCAGGCGGUUCUAUAAGACAGAUGUGAAAUCCCCGGGCUUAACCUGGGAACUGCGUUUGUGACUGUAGGACUGGAGUGUGGCAGAGGGGGGUGGAAUUCCACGUGUAGCAGUGAAAUGCGUAGAGAUGUGGAGGAACACCGAUGGCGAAGGCAGCCCCCUGGGUUAACACUGACGCUCAUGCACGAAAGCGUGGGUAGCAAACAGGAUUAGAUACCCUGGUAGUCCACGCCCUAAACGAUGCGAACUAGGUGUUGGAGAAGGAGACUUCUUUAGUACCGUAGCUAACGCGUGAAGUUCGCCGCCUGGGGAGUACGGUCGCAAGAUUAAAACUCAAAGGAAUUGACGGGGACCCGUACAAGCGGUGGAUGAUGUGGAUUAAUUCG
Molecule: ribosomal RNA, 564 nt
Filed under: uncultured bacterium
Lineage: Bacteria
Description: bacterial SSU rRNA
Rfam family: Bacterial small subunit ribosomal RNA
Source: RNAcentral